This 301-nucleotide ribosomal RNA is filed under the name uncultured bacterium. RNAcentral describes it as "partial 16S ribosomal RNA". It matches the Rfam family "Bacterial small subunit ribosomal RNA", at positions 509 to 807 of the family's 1533-position model. The record is from RNAcentral.
CAGUCGCCGCGGUAAUACGUAGGGCGCAUGCGUUAUCCGGAAUUAUUGGGCGUAAAGAGCUCGUAGGCGGUUUGUCGCGUCUGCCGUGAAAGUCCGGGGCUCAACCCCGGAUCUGCGGUGGGUACGGGCAGACUAGAGUGAUGUAGGGGAGACUGGAAUUCCUGGUGUAGCGGUGAAAUGCGCAGAUAUCAGGAGGAACACCGAUGGCGAAGGCAGGUCUCUGGGCAUUAACUGACGCUGAGGAGCGAAAGCAUGGGGAGCGAACAGGAUUAGAGACCCCUGUAGUCCCUGUCUCUUAUAC